AACGAGCGCUGGCGGCAUGCCUAACACAUGCGAGUCGAACGAGACCUUCGGGUCUAGUGGCGCACGGGUGCGUAACGCGUGGGAACCUGCCCUUAGGUUCGGAAUAACUCCCCGAAAGGGGUGCUAAUACCGGAUAAUGUCUUCGGACCAAAGAUUUAUCGCCUUUGGAUGGGCCCGCGUUGGAUUAGCUAGUUGGUAGGGUAAAAGCCUACCAAGGCGACGAUCCAUAGCUGGUCUGAGAGGAUGAUCAGCCACACUGGGACUGAGACACGGCCCAGACUCCUACGGGAGGCAGCAGUGGGGAAUAUUGGACAAUGGGCGAAAGCCUGAUCCAGCAAUGCCGCGUGAGUGAUGAAGGCCUUAGGGUUGUAAAGCUCUUUUACCCGGGAUGAUAAUGACAGUACCGGGAGAAUAAGCUCCGGCUAACUCCGUG
RNAcentral lists this ribosomal RNA (433 nucleotides) under uncultured bacterium. RNAcentral's name for it is "partial 16S ribosomal RNA". It matches the Rfam family "Bacterial small subunit ribosomal RNA", at positions 29 to 507 of the family's 1533-position model. The record is from RNAcentral.